Molecule: long non-coding RNA, 434 nt
Organism: Solea solea (common sole)
Lineage: Eukaryota; Metazoa; Chordata; Actinopteri; Pleuronectiformes; Soleidae
Exons: 2
Source: RefSeq, a predicted model, not a curated record
UUUAAAAAGAGCAGGGCAUAAUCUGGGGCCCAAUCUGGGUCACGGGGUUGCUGAUGCUAAUCCCAGUUGACAAUCCCAGAUGAAAGUCACAGAGUUAAUCCCACUUGACAGCCUGGACCCUGCUCACAUCAUCACCGUUCAAGUGACCUCUGCAUGUUUGUGGACUGUGGGAGGAAGACCAUAAUAAAGACCAUAAUAAUCCCCAGACGUGGACCACAAAUGUCCCCGAGUCGUCUCUGUCAUCCUCAUCUUCAUCUUCAUCAUCAUACACACUGGGGUUUAUUUAACGACAUCUGCUGCAGGUCAGGGGUUAAAUGAACACAGGUGACAGUAAUGAACACGAGUCAUGUGAUCAAACUGUGUCAGUGGAACAAUGACAGGAACAAGUGUAACAAGAGGAUGUAAACUUCAAAAUAAAACAGGAAAUAGUAAAA